RNAcentral lists this ribosomal RNA (374 nucleotides) under uncultured organism. RNAcentral describes it as "bacterial SSU rRNA". It matches the Rfam family "Bacterial small subunit ribosomal RNA", at positions 526 to 896 of the family's 1533-position model. The record is from RNAcentral.
CAGAGGGUGCGAGCGUUGUUCGGAAUUACUGGGCGUAAAGCGCGCGCAGGCGGUCCUUUAAGUCUACCCGUGAAAUGCCGGAGCUCAACUCCGUGCACGCCGGGGGAUACUGGAGGACUGGAGACGAGUAGAGGCAAGCGGAAUUCCGGGUGUAGCGGUGGAAUGCGUUGAUAUCCGGAAGAACACCGGAGGCGAAGGCGGCUUGCUGGGCUUGGUCUGACGCUGAGGCGCGAAAGCGUGGGGAGCGAACAGGAUUAGAUACCCUGGUAGUCCACGCCGUAAACGAUGGGCACUAGACGCGGGUGGGAUCGACCCCUUCCGUGUCGCAGCUAACGCGCUAAGUGCCCCGCCUGGGGAGUACGGCCGCAAGGCUG